RNAcentral lists this ribosomal RNA (506 nucleotides) under uncultured bacterium. Its description in RNAcentral is "partial 16S ribosomal RNA". It matches the Rfam family "Bacterial small subunit ribosomal RNA", at positions 30 to 523 of the family's 1533-position model. The record is from RNAcentral.
AUUGAACGCUGGCGGUAUGCUUAACACAUGCAAGUCGAACGGCAGCAUGGUCUAGCUUGCUAGACUGAUGGCGAGUGGCGGACGGGUGAGUAACGCGUAGGAAUAUGCCUUGAAGAGUGGGGCAACUUGGGGAAACUCAAGCUAAUACCGCAUGUACUCGAGAGAGUAAAGCUGGGGACCUUUAGGCCUGGCGCUUUAAGAUUCGCCUGCGUCCGAUUAGCUAGUUGGUUGGGUAAAGGCCUACCAAGGCGACGAUCGGUAGCUGGUCUGAGAGGAUGAUAAGCCACACUGGAACUGAGAGACGGUCCAGACUCCUACGGGAGGCAGCAGUGAGGAAUAUUGGACAAUGGGGGGAACCCUGAUCCAGCAAUGCCGCGUGUGUGGAGAAGGCCUGAGGGCUGUAAAGCACUUUCAGUGGGGAGGAGGUUUGGAAGGUUAAGAGCUAUUCAAAUGGACGUUACCCACAGAAGAAGCACCGGCUAACUCCGUGCCAGCCGCCGCCGUAA